GUGCUCACUCGGCAGCAUAUAUACUAAACUUGGAAUGAUACAAAGAAGAUUAGCAUGACCCUUGUGCAAGGUUGACAUGCAAAUUUGUGAAGCAAUAUUUAA
Hyaena hyaena (striped hyena) is the source of this 102-nucleotide small nuclear RNA. The record is from RefSeq and is a predicted model, not a curated record. Lineage: Eukaryota; Metazoa; Chordata; Mammalia; Carnivora; Hyaenidae.